This is a non-coding RNA of Cricetulus griseus (Chinese hamster), 3374 nucleotides long. Lineage: Eukaryota; Metazoa; Chordata; Mammalia; Rodentia; Cricetidae. The record is from RefSeq and is a predicted model, not a curated record.
AAGAAAGGGGGUGGGGAUGUAGCUUGGUGAUAGAAUACUGACCUAGCAACCAUGAGGUCCUACAUCAGUCCUAGUCUGGGCAGGGGGACAGAACACACACCCUGUGGGAGCAUGGGCUUCCAGCACCUGGUCGGGAUGAUAGCUCAAACAACAGUGCUGGAUUAGCCAAAACGUAUUUCUAACAGCAACCCGAAACAGCUGGAACCAGGAAAGUGCCUGUGACUAAUUGGAAGUUGAGCAGAAGAGCAAGAAGUGAAGGUUAACAGAGGGAGAAGCGGUCACAUGUUCCUUCAGAAGAGGUGUGAAGUAGGCAGGUGGAAAAAUACAGACAAGUGGGGAAAAGGAGAAUGCACCAGUCAGCACCAAGCUGGGGCAGAAGUGAUGGAUUCUGUAAGGAUAAUGGAAAGUCAUUUCAUUAUGUGCGGCUAACAGACGGGAUAGUCUUUUGUGUGCAUGAAAAUGAGUUUGCCGAACAAUUCCACCACUGAUUGUUGAGUCUUAGAAGAUAUUUUUGUGUUGGGCAGGGCCAAGAGGGAAAGCUGACAAUGCGUGACAAAAGACUAUCCAACCAAGGAGUAGCAUAAGUCAUGUAUGUGUCAUGGCAACUAAGCCCAGAAGAAUUUGGGGGUAAAAUGGAAAGCAGCAUUGGAAGUGCAGAAACACGGGAGCCAACAGACUGACGAUGGUGUUGAGUAUCUCAUCCAUGGUCACUGCUCCAAGCACCACCCUGGCCCGAAUCUUCAAUCAUUUGUGGCUUUGGCUUAGUAGGCAAGUUCAAGCUUUGCUCUCUGGACUUCAUGGCUCCUUCCUACCUAGUGUUAAGUUAUGUGAGUCAGCCUGAGUCAGCUUCAAGAACUUUCCUUCACCAUUCUUUUGUGCUCCUGACAAGAGAGGCCAGCAUAGUUCAUCUCAGAAGUGGAGGGAUGGGAAGUAUGGCUGAAUCAACAAAGCGGGGCCUUUUGGCUACCCUGCCGUACCAUGGAAUCUAGGACGAGAGAGAAAGGUGUGACCCAGAACAGUAGCUCACUUCGGUGGAGGAAACUAUCCGAAGGCAUCUAUGUUAUUAAAUCUUCUAUGCAAGGAACAUUUUGUUCACUGAUUCUGGGCUACAACUUAAUAAUAAAAAUUACAGAUUCCUCAACUCACCCACAAGGAGCCUAUCAUCUUUGACAUUCUUAUGGGACACAAUGGAGGCUUUGUCAAGGCCCAAGCUGAUUUGGGGUGUGUUCCGUUUCUGGGGUGCUCCUCUUGCAAAGAAUAGACAGACACUCCAUCCAACCUGGCUAAGAAAGAAUUCCCAUGAAAUGAUCAGCUGACUCUAGGAAGAAAAAAGAACAGCAAAAGAGUUUGAGACAGGGAUACUGUUGUAUGCUAAUGCUUAUCAACUGGUUGAUAAAGGCACUAUGCACACGAUAGAUACUUCCCUAAUUCUUAUGCCAACUUAACAUGGCAGGUUACAGGACGUUUACCUCACAGGUGAAGGAAACUGCCGGGGUCAGAAAAGUCACACAAUGGAACCAGACUUCCAGCCACUGAUAUCAGCUAUCAAGUUCUACGUUUCCCCUUCUUGUGCAUCUACAAAAGACCUUAGAGCAUGCACAUGGCCCGAACAAGGGGGAGAACUCGCUCUAGGCUGGCCUCGAACACACAGAGAUCCACCAGCCUCUGCCUCCCGAGUGCUGGGAUUAAAGGCGUGUGCCACCAAAGCCUGGCCACAGUUUCUCCCUCUACGCACUUUAAAAGUGGCUUUUGCUCAGCACUUCUAGGAGUUCCUGGUACCAUGUAUGACCUACGUGCGUCAGAUUCACAGCUCACUCGUUGUCUGUUCCCACCACCACCUCACAGGCUCUGAAGACUAGCUGCCGCUGAUGCUUUUAAGAGUCUACAGACCCCAUGUCCCCCAGAGUCAUGCUUCAUGAUGCCUUUGAACAUGCCUGUGCUCACCUGUGAUCUCCAACCCUCCAUACCCUGGUUCUAGGCAUGCUACUGCCAUUUAUCAUAUUUUAUUGUGAUGGUUGAUUCAUUUACCACACUUAAUUUUAGACAAAUAAUCAAAGGUUGUUUCUUCCUUCUACAUCCCCAAUGAAAACACUAGUGCCCCAGUGUUUUUCUAGAAAUCUUCAUUUCUAUUUUGUCUCUGCGAUAUGGACAAUGAAGUUAAAGGGGACACAACAUAAUUUGCAUUGGAAAUUCAGGCACCUCUCUCCUUUGUUGACAUCAGACCUUCAUCCUUUGGCAUUACCAGUCUUUAGAGAAUUUAUUAAAACAGGUGUGGAAUGAUGGUGCCAUGCUGGAGAGGAACAGUGUUUUCAAGCUUCAUCAACUAAAGAAAUCAUUCUGUCUACCAUGAUUUAUUAACAAUGAUCUGAAGGCUCAAGGGUAUAAGUGUGGCCAACUUCAGACCUAUUUGUGGUCAAUUCCAGAUUUAAUUUCAGGUCUUCUGAUAUCCAGAUCAGAGAACUCCAUCACACCUCUGUACCGUCUCUUCCAAACUAUGUCUUUGUUUCUUCAUUUCCUCUCUCCAAACUGUCUUAUUUUUUUUCUUCCUGAAUGAUUGGCAAAGCCACUGUCUGUUAGACGACACAGAGGGUCAGAAAGAUGAAAUGACUGGUCCCUGGGGUUCGGUGACUAUCACUGAGGAAGGAGGACAAAACACCAACAACAGACAGCUGCUGACUUAGAAGUCAAGGAUUCCACAUUUUUGGAUUGUCUGCAGUUGUAUUAUUGGCAAAUAAGAUUUGUGGAUGCUGAGCUAUACAGUAGCUAUUUUACCUUAGGGUUUGAUACUAGCUUUUUCAAAUAAAAUUAAUGUGGUUACAAUUUUGAGGGACAGGGAAGAGAGGCAUUUAUCUGGAAACAUUAUCUUUCAGACAAGAAUGUUUUAAUGACCAAUACCUGCAAAACUACGUGUUCUUUUCUGUGUAAGAACAUACAAUGUCGUUUCCCGAUGUUUCAAAUGCCUGCCUGACUUGGUAGCAAGCUCACAGGAACUGUGGCUACAGUCAUUGGCCACCUACUAUGGCCAAGACAAAAGCAGGAGGCAGAGGCUUGUCAGGACAAGGAGCAUGGUUGCUCUAUGACUCCAAACACAAGUUUUUAGUGGCACAGAAAACAAACAGCUUCAAGGGGUUGAGUUGAAAGGGUGUCUUCCAAGUGAGGGAAUGCCAAAGGGUUUCAGGAGGAGCUGAGCUUUGGAAGAACGAGACUCAGGAAAGAGGGCUAAAAAGGAAAGAGAUUUGAAGCAGAGAAGAUGGGCUUCUGAGGUCCUGAAAUCAACAACAUGCUCCUUAGACUUUAUUAAAGAUCUCCAUUGGAUUAUAUUCAAAUUUUUCUUCUAGUGUAUUCCUCCCCCCUACAAAAAAAAAAAAAAAAAA